This is a non-coding RNA of Pelobates cultripes (western spadefoot toad), 1391 nucleotides long. Lineage: Eukaryota; Metazoa; Chordata; Amphibia; Anura; Pelobatidae. The record is from the annotation of a GenBank genome assembly.
AUCAGAUUCCGUAGCCCUGUACAAUGGGUGGACUAACAGGCAUGUAAUUGUAACCAGACAACUGGACGUACAGGAACAGAGAGGUGGAGGGCCCUGCUCAAUGAGCUUACAUUCUAGAGGGAGUAGGGUAUAGUGACACAAAGGGUAAAAGUAGGGGUACGAAGUAGGUUGUUAGAAAAGUAUUCACUAAGGGCUUAGUAGGUAGUUUUGACAGUUGCAAACAGUGUAUUGCAUUUAAAGAGGACUAGUUGCUUGUGCAGUUAAUAUAGGCGAGUUGUUCUGCUUGAUGAGGCGUGUUUUGGAAAAGGAAACUUGGAUUACAGAGUACACUUAAAUGUGGAGUGACACUGUACUACUGCGAUUCCUAGAAUACAAAAAUAGCAUAAACAACAUGAAAUUGGGACAGUAAUGAAUAAUGUGUUUAACAUGAGGAAAUCGUCAUUCUCAGAACACAAUGUUCCUAUUUUUAUGGCACAGGUUGUACUUUCAGAUAAACUUCUUCCUCAACAAAGAAAUCUGGCAGUAGGUUCAAAAUAUAAUCUGCUGAUUUACGCCACAAGAUGCCUCAUGUUAAUAAAUAUUUAAGCUGGGUUUCAAGCACUAAAAUAGCAGGAGUAAUCCAGAACCCGUUUGUCUAUCUCGCAACAGGCUCAACAAUCUGUACCUUGUUACAUUAUAACUGUGCAUUCUAGCUCAAUCACUCGGAAAAUUCUGACAUUUUCUGGUGUCUAUGUUUUUAUUGUUCUCAUGGUUGUUUUUAAGAUAAGGAUGUUUUUCUCUCCUACUUCAAGUGAUGUCAUGUCUGAUGUCGACCCUGAAGGGGCGUGUGGGAAAAUGGUUACUGCUGACUCUGAAAAGUUGAAUAAAUAACUGAGAAAUAAAUACAUUCCCAGUGUUAUUUGAUGGAUAGGUACUUGAAAUCUGAUACACAGUCAAACUGUUAUGUUUUUGAAUAAACAAAAAAAAUCUUCUCCUAAAUUUGUUUACAUGUGUUGGCUGUCUAGUGGUGCAUUUUGUGACUUUUUAAGUAAUUAGAACCUUUUUUACAAAAAAAAUGGGUUUUCCACAGCACCUGCAAUCAACAUGAUUGGGUUACCAGUGCUCUCUUUUGGGCAAAAUGAAGAUUAAUAAUGUGGACAUGUAAAGGCCCUAGAUAAUUGAGAUAGUGAGACAUUAGGCAGAGCUCCAAUAUGAGGCCCAAUAUUCAUUUUUUGGUUUGAAGGACAGACUACUCUAAAAAUAAAACAUUUAAUCACACAAUCGGCAAGUCCACAUCUGAGGUAAAGCUUUUUUUCCAAGUUUUAAAACGAAGCACAGGCAAUCUAGAACAGGAGGGAAGACAGACAGAAAAUGCAUAAAAAAACCUAACAUGGACUUAUUUAGUAGUUGGC